RNAcentral lists this ribosomal RNA (247 nucleotides) under uncultured bacterium. RNAcentral's name for it is "partial 16S ribosomal RNA". It matches the Rfam family "Bacterial small subunit ribosomal RNA", at positions 523 to 769 of the family's 1533-position model. The record is from RNAcentral.
AUACGUAGGUGGCAAGCGUUGUCCGGAUUUAUUGGGCGUAAAGCGAGCGCAGGCGGUUUAUUAAGUCUGAUGUGAAAGCCUUCGGCUCAACCGAAGAAGUGCAUCGGAAACUGGGAAACUUGAGUGCAGAAGAGGACAGUGGAACUCCAUGUGUAGCGGUGAAAUGCGUAGAUAUAUGGAAGAACACCAGUGGCGAAGGCGGCUGUCUGGUCUGUAACUGACGCUGAGGCUCGAAAGCGUGGGGAGC